GGAUGUGAGGGUGACCUGGCUGUGACAUCUGUCACCCCAUUGAUCGCCAGGGUUGAUUCGGCCGAUCUGGCUGACUAGGCGGGUGUCCCCUUCCUCCCUCACUGCUCCAUGUGCGUCCCUCCUGAAGCUGUGCUCUCAGUUGAAGAGGACGGACUUCCCCGAGUAGAGAUAGACCGGUCCCCUGCUAGAACCUCCAGAGAAGCUCUCGUGAUGGACUUUAUACUGACUCACUGCAGACUAUUGUGCACUUUUGCUUUAGGCAUAUUUUGCCCUAA
This 275-nucleotide small nuclear RNA is filed under the name Erinaceus europaeus (western European hedgehog). RNAcentral describes it as "7SK RNA (ENSEEUG00000020834.1)". It matches the Rfam family "7SK RNA". From Rfam's summary of the family: 7SK was discovered as an abundant small nuclear RNA in the mid-70s but a possible function has only recently been suggested. Two independent studies have found that 7SK RNA binds the CDK9/cyclin T complex (known as elongation factor P-TEFb). The record is from RNAcentral. Lineage: Eukaryota; Metazoa; Chordata; Mammalia; Eulipotyphla; Erinaceidae.